CUUUUAGAAAUUUUGGAGAAAAGAAAUUUUGGUCCUUUAUGGAUCUCCUGGAUUAAGCAGAUUACUCACAUGGGUUCAGUUGGGGUAAAAAUUAAUGGUGUAGAGGGACACUCAUUCAUCACAGAAAAAGGGCUGAGGCAGGGGGACCCUAUAUCCCCCCUCCUUUUCAAUUUAGUGGUAGAUGUGCUUAGUAAAAUGCUUUAUAAAGCAGCCUCUCAGGAUAUGAUUAGGGGUUUGUGUUCUGACCUUAUACUUAAUGGUGUCAUCUGCCUGCAAUAUGCAGAUGACACCAUACUCUUUGUGGAUAGUGAUGAGCAUAAAGCCUCUAACCUAAAAAUGAUCUUAACCUGCUUUGAAAAAGUCUCAGGCAUGAAAAUCAACUAUGCUAAAAGUGAGAUAAUUCCCAUAGAUAUAUCUCCUGAGGAAACUAGGAUCAUUGCUGAUAUCAUGGGA
This 453-nucleotide ribosomal RNA is filed under the name Triticum aestivum (bread wheat). Its description in RNAcentral is "partial small subunit ribosomal RNA". Lineage: Eukaryota; Viridiplantae; Streptophyta; Magnoliopsida; Poales; Poaceae. The record is from RNAcentral.